RNAcentral lists this ribosomal RNA (588 nucleotides) under uncultured bacterium. RNAcentral's name for it is "partial 16S ribosomal RNA". It matches the Rfam family "Bacterial small subunit ribosomal RNA", at positions 355 to 1375 of the family's 1533-position model. The record is from RNAcentral.
UGGGGAAUUUUGGACAAUGGGCGAAAGCCUGAUCCAGCAAUGCCGCGUGUGUGAAGAAGGCCUUCGGGUUGUAAAGCACUUUUGUCCGGAAAGAAAUCCUUGGCUCUAAUACAGUCGGGGGAUGACGGUACCGGAAGAAUAAGCACCGGCUAACUACGUGCCAGCAGCCGCGGCAAUACGUAGGGUGCAAGCGUUAAUCGGAAUUACUGGGCGUAAAGCGUGCGCAGGCGGUUUGCUAAGACCGAUGUGAAAUCCCCGGGCUCAACCUGGGAACUGCAUUGGUGACUGGCAGGCUAGAGUAUGGCAGAGGGGGGUAGAAUUCCACGUGUAGCAGUGAAAUGCGUAGAGAUGUGGAGGAAUACCGAUGGCGAAGGCAGCCCCCUGGCAAGUACUGACGCUCAUGCACGAAAAGCGUGGGGAGCAAAACAGGAUUAGAUACCCUGGUAGUCCACGCCCUAAAACGAUGUCAACUAGUUGUUGGGGAUUCAUUUCCUUAGUAACGUAGCUAACGCGUGAAGUUGACCGCCUGGGGAGUACGGUCGCAAGAUUAAAAACUCAAAUGAAUUGACGGGGUCAUAGCUGUUUCCU